Molecule: long non-coding RNA, 222 nt
Filed under: Lathyrus oleraceus (garden pea)
Lineage: Eukaryota; Viridiplantae; Streptophyta; Magnoliopsida; Fabales; Fabaceae
Description: Pisum sativum (pea) long non-coding RNA (PSAT_LNC038082)
Source: RNAcentral
CAUGUGUGGCUCCUUAACCCUAGGGUUGGGACUUGUGUGAGUUGGUUUGAGAUCACCAAGUAUGCUUGUAUUGUAUAUUAUUUCUUUUCUUAUUUUGAUUACUAACCAAAAGAACAAAAAUAUGUCACUAACUCUUUUUGUUUUAAAGCUCAAGUGAUCAUGUGCUCUCAUGCUCCUAGAAGGCUCCUAAGCUCAAUGAAGUGGCUAAAUGAAGAUGAGAAA